This 383-nucleotide ribosomal RNA is filed under the name uncultured eukaryote. Its description in RNAcentral is "partial 18S ribosomal RNA". It matches the Rfam family "Eukaryotic small subunit ribosomal RNA", at positions 592 to 976 of the family's 1831-position model. The record is from RNAcentral.
CAAUAGCGUAUAUUAAAGUUGUUGCAGUUAAAAAGCUCGUAGUUGGAUUUCUGGUGGGAGCGAUCGGUCUGGCGCUUAGCGCGAGUACUUGCAUCGUCUCCGGCCAUCCUUGGGGAGAGUCUGUCUGGCAUUAGGUUGUCGGGCAGAGGAUCUUCAUCGUUUACUGUGAAAAAAUUAGAGUGUUCAAAGCAGGCUUAUGCCGUUGAAUAUAUUAGCAUGGAAUAAUAAGAUAGGACUUUGGUACUAUUUUGUUGGUUUGCGCACCGAAGUAAUGAUUAAUAGGGACAGUUGGGGGUAUUCGUAUUCCGUUGUCAGAGGUGAAAUUCUUGGAUUUACGGAAGACGAACUACUGCGAAAGCAUUUACCAAGGAUGUUUUCAUUAA